GCGCUGGUAGCUCAGUUGGUUAGAGCGGACCGCUCAUAACGGUUUGGUCGUGGGUUCAAGUCCCUCCCGGCGCACCA
RNAcentral lists this transfer RNA (77 nucleotides) under Acetobacter malorum. RNAcentral describes it as "tRNA-Met". It matches the Rfam family "tRNA". From Rfam's summary of the family: Transfer RNA (tRNA) molecules are approximately 80 nucleotides in length. Their secondary structure includes four short double-helical elements and three loops (D, anti-codon, and T loops). The record is from RNAcentral. RNAcentral also lists the same sequence under 1 other name. Lineage: Bacteria; Pseudomonadati; Pseudomonadota; Alphaproteobacteria; Acetobacterales; Acetobacteraceae.